This is a long non-coding RNA of Cyprinus carpio carpio, 522 nucleotides long. The record is from Ensembl. NCBI's taxonomy places the organism in Eukaryota, Metazoa, Chordata, Actinopteri, Cypriniformes, Cyprinidae.
ACAGUAUGUAUGUUAGACAGCAUAUCUAAUGUUUUUUCCCCCUGGGUCGUUCAUGAGCAAGAGAGCAGAACAACAGCUCUUCUCGCUGCGUCCCAUAAGCUUUACUCAGCCUGCAAGACUAUCUUGAGGAGGGUCCUUGGCCUCUGGUAUUUACCUGAGGGAUCGAAACCUUAUCGGGUGUUGCUGAGUUAGCGCUCUCAGCCGCUGGGGAGAGCACACAGAGCUGUUUCUGCUGAGUGCCAAACAUACUGUCAACUUAUUACAUGGUGGAAGAAAAUGGGAUGCUUUGACACACCAGAACAUGUGCGGACGAUAAAAGUGUGUCUUUCAUUCUCAGGGAUUGCCUGCGAGGGUGAGAUUUCAUUCUGCCUUCAAGUUGCACAUUGUUAUUACAUCAAAGUGCCUGCAUGGAGUGUUGCAAUAAUCCACGCGGAGGCAAGCCAAGCGUCAGGUAUUGAGGAGAUGAGGGCUGUGGAAGUGGGGUCAAGACCUUCCACUGCCGCCUGGAUCAUGAAAGAAAGG